This 253-nucleotide ribosomal RNA is filed under the name uncultured bacterium. RNAcentral's name for it is "partial 16S ribosomal RNA". It matches the Rfam family "Bacterial small subunit ribosomal RNA", at positions 524 to 776 of the family's 1533-position model. The record is from RNAcentral.
UACGGGGGGGGCAAGCGUUGUUCGGAAUUACUGGGCGUAAAGGGCUCGUAGGUGGCCAACUAAGUCAGACGUGAAAUCCCUCAGCUUAACCGGGGAACUGCGUCUGAUACUGGAUGGCUUGAAUCCGGGAGAGGGAUGCGGAAUUCCAGGUGUAGCGGUGAAAUGCGUAGAUAUCUGGAGGAACACCGGUGGCGAAGGCGGCAUCCUGGACCGGCAUUGACGCUGAGGAGCGAAAGCCAGGGGAGCAAACGGG